AAGGGGUCGCGAAAAUCGAGCGGGUGGAUAAACGCGCGGCAUUGUGUUCGCUUCAUCGACUGACCGAUAUUUGCCCAGAGUCACUCUGAAAGUAUGGAUUAACGAUCCGUAGGGUGGACCGAAGGGUAGACCAGAAGAGAUUACUAAGCGAAGGCUAAGCGCGUGAUGCAGGUGGUCGCAAGGGGAACCGCUGGAAAGAAAGGACAGAGAUGAUGAUUCCACUUCAGAAACGGACGAAAGCUUCCAACAGUAUAGUGACACUGACGAAGAAUAUCAGAUCCAUCAUCAUAUAGCGGAGUAAUUAAUAAAAAAAAGUAGUUUACAUAUCGUACUGGAAAAACAGCAUUUACGCAAGAAAUUGAAGAGUAAACACAUUAAAAGAAACAAGUCGAAGUAGAUGGCUGCAGAUAGGCAGUUAAGAUUGACGAAGACAUGCAUGCGCAAAGACAAAGCAGGAGAGAUAGAAAUCAAUCCUGGUCCGUUUUGGAGGAAUGACAGGAAUGCGCGGAAUUGCAUAGUAUUUGACAUUAUCCGUAACUCUAUCGCCUCUUUAACGAAGUCGAUGUCAUUACAUUUAUAUGUCGAAUAGCUAUAUCAUUUUUUUUUAUUUUAUGACGAAAUGUAUUUUUCGAUAGACUUUUAGUCCGGACGGACAGUACAGGUUCGUAAUGUAAAAACAUUACAAUAAAAAAAUAUCUUUUAUUCUUUCAUAAUUGCUCAUCAUAUGCGCAAAUCGUGUACAAAUCGUGUGUGUGAAUAAAUCCAGAUAUAGAGGUGGAACAACGGAUGGAUAAUUAUAUACGGAGAAUAGAUAUAUUAAUCAAAGCAUAUUAUUUGUUAUACAAUAAUACCGAGCCAUCUACGUGCAUAAAUAUCAGAAAUAACAAACGGCAAUGAAACGUAGAUAAAAUUAACAAGCAUGAAUAUCUAUCGUUCCGAUUUCGUUUCAUUUCAUACACGCUGCAAAUGAAUAAUGCGCGCCGUGAAAAUUGUCCAAUGGGUAACGUGGCUUACAAAUCCUCUUAAAAUGCAUUAUAUAAAUCGAAAUCCAUUUUUCAGGCAAAACAUAUUUUUCGAGCGCGGCUAUUCAAAGCGAUUCUCUGAGCCAUUUAUAUGCAUACAUUCGUCGAUCGCAAAUAACGCCGCGACGCAGCCCCGUGUACCCGCAAAUAUCCCCCUCGCACCGAACACGAUAUAAACAGGUAGACAGGGUUGUAGGAAAAGAGCACAGAGAAGAAAGAGGAGAAAACGAUCCAAUAGUCACGACCCUUCCCGAUCGAUUAAUAUCACUGCAAUAAACGUCAUUGCACAUCGAAAAGGGGUGGUUCGCCCCACGGCAAACGCGAUUCUCGUGUCGAAAAAUAUAUACCUCUCUAUUUUACAAAACACGCAACAGCACACGUAACCCUUUAGUCGCGCGGCUCCGACUGCGUUCUUCUUUUGUGACGAGAAAAGCUAAACGAUGGAGGAUCCAACUGUGUUACUUGUCAUAUGUGAGCAAAUCAGCGAAUAAAAUAAGUCAACUUUUCACGUACUUAUAAUGUAUCUAAAAAAAAAUUCGAAAACUGAACUAUCACGAAAGUCAGAGAUUAAAUCAGAUUAGAGAUUUCAAUUUCAUGAAAUUUAAUCGUUGCGUAGGCAGACAUUCUAACAUUCAUUGCUGCUAUAAAUACUUCGAUCGUUAUUAAUCUCACGACUGCAUCGGCUUCGACAAGCGUUACAAAAUCUCUCUA
This is a long non-coding RNA of Temnothorax curvispinosus, 1733 nucleotides long. RefSeq lists it as uncharacterized. NCBI's taxonomy places the organism in Eukaryota, Metazoa, Arthropoda, Insecta, Hymenoptera, Formicidae. The transcript is spliced from 3 exons. The record is from RefSeq and is a predicted model, not a curated record.